CUACCCUCCGGGGUUGGACUGGUCCUGCUGUUACUAUGGAUACGCUCGGGGGAGGAUCCUGCUGUUGUCACGGACCGACGUCCUUUGGGGCUGGGCUAAUCCUGCUGUUGCUGAGGAGGGGCUCAUCCCAUUUCCAAGCCUUUGCCAGGUGCGGAUCAUUACGUGAGCCGAUGUUGUAUCUAAUUGCCUGGUGCGACUUGAGAAAAUGCUAUGUUUCGCCGACUGUGUUAAUUAGAGAUGAGGUACCUGAAGCCCAGAGAAGUGAAGUGACUCGCCUAGGUCACACAGCAGACAAGUGGAGGAGCCUGGGAUUAGAACCCAUGUCCUUCCGAUUCCCAGGCCUGGGCUUUAUCCACUAGGGCCAGUAAUGAUUUCAGUAAAUGAUUUCGGUUUCUGUUUCCCGCGCUAGACUGCGAUAAAAAUGUAAAGCAAGCACUAAAUCCAGUGUUCUGUGCACCGUAAAUGCUCAAUAAAUAUGACAGAUUGUCUUUUUUUCUUUUUUGAUGAUUCUUGUUAGGCAAUUACUGCGU
Ornithorhynchus anatinus (platypus) is the source of this 530-nucleotide long non-coding RNA. RefSeq lists it as uncharacterized. The record is from RefSeq and is a predicted model, not a curated record. NCBI's taxonomy places the organism in Eukaryota, Metazoa, Chordata, Mammalia, Monotremata, Ornithorhynchidae. The transcript has 3 exons.